RNAcentral lists this ribosomal RNA (357 nucleotides) under Triticum aestivum (bread wheat). RNAcentral describes it as "partial small subunit ribosomal RNA". Lineage: Eukaryota; Viridiplantae; Streptophyta; Magnoliopsida; Poales; Poaceae. The record is from RNAcentral.
AUGAGAAGCACACAAUUAAGUGAGAGCUUGAACAGUGACUUGAAAGACCAUCUAAAGUCUGGUCUUGACAUCCUUCGGUUUUUCAAGCACGUAGAGAGGGUUGUGCAAGGAAAAAGAGAUAACAAGCGAUGGACUCGAGAAGCACGAAGUGGAACUAUUCAAAACAGUCAUGGAAACAUUGUUUUGGAAGACCCUAGAUCGGAAGAUAGGCAACAGUUGAAGUUUUUCAUGCACGAUUUCCAUGGCAUAGUUUCCCAAGCAGUUGCCUCCUACUACUACAUGCACACAACUGAAGAUAUAUCUAAAGAACCUGAGGAUUGUCUACAGGCCGCUUGCCUAAAGAAAAAAGAAAUUCCG